CUGCAGCCAAUUAAGCCGACUGAGUUCCUUUCCUCAUGGGGGCCCAGUGUGCAAUGGCUGCAAACAGCAGCUUCCCUGGUAGUGAUGCAGCCUGUCUGUUGUAUGGGUUGCUCUAAGGGACCUUGGAUACAGUC
Molecule: small nucleolar RNA, 134 nt
Filed under: Colobus angolensis palliatus
Lineage: Eukaryota; Metazoa; Chordata; Mammalia; Primates; Cercopithecidae
Description: Small nucleolar RNA SNORA70 (ENSCANG00000006372.1)
Rfam family: Small nucleolar RNA SNORA70
About the family: snoRNA U70 seems to be exclusive to mammals and is a member of the H/ACA class of snoRNA which contain H (ANANNA) and ACA box motifs. H/ACA box snoRNAs are involved in the conversion of uridines to pseudouridines (5-ribosyluracil) a constituent of structural RNAs (transfer, ribosomal, small nuclear, and small nucleolar).
Source: Rfam by way of RNAcentral